UAGGGAAUAUUGGACAAUGGACGAAAGUCUGAUCCAGCCAUGCCGCGUGCAGGAUGACGGCCCUAUGGGUUGUAAACUGCUUUUAUAUAGGAAGAAACCUUUCCACGUGUGGAAAGCUGACGGUACUAUACGAAUAAGGACCGGCUAACUCCGUGCCAGCAGCCGCGGUAAUACGGAGGGUCCAAGCGUUGUCCGGAUUUAUUGGGUUUAAAGGGUACGUAGGCGGGACUUUAAGUCAGUGGUGAAAGCCUCCAGCUUAACUGGAGAAUUGCCAUUGAAACUGAAGUUCUUGAGUAUGGAUGAGGUGGUUGGAAUAUAACAUGUAGCGGUGAAAUGCAUAGAUAUGUUAUAGAACACCAAUUGCGAAGGCAGAUCACUAAACCAUUACUGACGCUGAGGUACGAAAGCGUGGGGAGCGAACAGG
This 424-nucleotide ribosomal RNA is filed under the name uncultured bacterium. RNAcentral's name for it is "bacterial SSU rRNA". It matches the Rfam family "Bacterial small subunit ribosomal RNA", at positions 355 to 776 of the family's 1533-position model. The record is from RNAcentral.